CGUGGGCCGCACGCGCGCUACACUGAUGCGUUCAACGAGUUUAAAACCUUGACCGAUAGGUCUGGGUAAUCUUGUAAAUGCGCAUCGUGCUAGGGAUAGAUUGUUGCAAUUUUCAAUCUUGAACGAGGAAUUCCUAGUAAAUGCAAGUCAUCAGCUUGCGUUGAUUACGUCCCUGCCCUUUGUACACACCGCCCGUCGCACCUACCGAUUGAAUGACUCGGUGAAGAAUUGGGACUGUGAAUCUGUUUGCUUCAUUGCGAAUGGAUUUGUGGGAACUUUUUUUAACCUCGCCAUUUAGAGGAAGGUGAAGUCGUAACAAGGUUUCCGUAGGUGAACCUGCGGAAGGAUCAUUACCACACCAAAAACUAUCCACGUGAACCACUUUGUAUAGGUUUUUUGUCGCCAUAUGCAACGCUUCUUCGAGGAGUGUUUGUGUAUGUGUGGGCUAACCGAAGGCUUUUGACCGUAAGGUUGGAAGCUGAUGUUUUUUCUCACCCUUUACCUCAAUAUGAAUUUCGCAAGAACGAAAGUUUUUGCGUUUACUUCCACAAACUUUCAGCAGUGGAUGUCUAGGCUCGCACAUCGAUGAAGAACGCUGCGAACUGCGAUACGUAAUGCGAAUUGCAGGAUUCAGUGAGUCAUCGAAAUUUUGAACGCAUAUUGCACUUUCGGGUUAUGCCUGAAAGUAUGCCUGUAUCAGUGUCCAUAUCACAAACUUGCCCUUUUUCU
RNAcentral lists this ribosomal RNA (729 nucleotides) under Albugo candida. Its description in RNAcentral is "bacterial SSU rRNA". The stretch from base 1 to 353 matches the Rfam family "Eukaryotic small subunit ribosomal RNA", at positions 1481 to 1831 of the family's 1831-position model. Lineage: Eukaryota; Oomycota; Peronosporomycetes; Albuginales; Albuginaceae. The record is from RNAcentral.